RNAcentral lists this ribosomal RNA (432 nucleotides) under uncultured bacterium. RNAcentral's name for it is "partial 16S ribosomal RNA". It matches the Rfam family "Bacterial small subunit ribosomal RNA", at positions 29 to 507 of the family's 1533-position model. The record is from RNAcentral.
ACGAACGCUGGCGGCAGGCCUAACACAUGCCAGUCGAGCGAGGACUUCGGUUCUAGCGGCGGACGGGUGAGUAACGCGUGGGAAUGUGCCCUUCUCUACGGAAUAGCCCUGGGAAACUGGGAGUAAUACCGUAUACGCCCUAUUGGGGAAAGAUUUAUCGGAGAAGGAUCAGCCCGCGUUGGAUUAGGUAGUUGGUGGGGUAAUGGCCUACCAAGCCGACGAUCCAUAGCUGGUUUGAGAGGAUGAUCAGCCACACUGGGACUGAGACACGGCCCAGACUCCUACGGGAGGCAGCAGUGGGGAAUCUUAGACAAUGGGGGCAACCCUGAUCUAGCCAUGCCGCGUGAGUGAUGAAGGCCUUAGGGUUGUAAAGCUCUUUCAGCUGGGAAGAUAAUGACGGUACCAGCAGAAGAAGCCCCGGCUAACUCCGUG